AACGUAGGAGACAAACGUUAUCCGGAGUUACUGGGCGUAAAGGGCGCGUAGGCGGCCGAUCAAGUCAGAUGUGAAAGUCCUGGGCUUAACCUGGGGACUGCAUUUGAUACUGAUUGGCUUGAAUGCAGGAGAGGAUAGCGGAAUUCCCAGUGUAGAGGUGAAAUUCGUAGAUAUUGGGAAGAACACCGGUGGCGAAGGCGGCUAUCUGGACUGUGAUUGACGCUGAGGCGCGAAAGCGUGGGGAGCAAACAGG
This 253-nucleotide ribosomal RNA is filed under the name uncultured bacterium. Its description in RNAcentral is "partial 16S ribosomal RNA". It matches the Rfam family "Bacterial small subunit ribosomal RNA", at positions 524 to 776 of the family's 1533-position model. The record is from RNAcentral.